RNAcentral lists this ribosomal RNA (443 nucleotides) under uncultured bacterium. RNAcentral's name for it is "bacterial SSU rRNA". It matches the Rfam family "Bacterial small subunit ribosomal RNA", at positions 28 to 451 of the family's 1533-position model. The record is from RNAcentral.
GAUGAACGCUGGCGGCGUGCUUAACACAUGCAAGUCGAACGAAGCACUCUAUUUGAUUUUCUUCGGAAAUGAAGAUUUUGUGACUGAGUGGCGGACGGGUGAGUAACGCGUGGGUAACCUGCCUCAUACAGGGGGAUAACAGUUGGAAACGACUGCUAAUACCGCAUAAGCACACAGGAUUGCAUGAUCCGGUGUGAAAAACUCCGGUGGUAUGAGAUGGACCCGCGUCUGAUUAGCCAGUUGGCAGGGUAACGGCCUACCAAAGCGACGAUCAGUAGCCGACCUGAGAGGGUGACCGGCCACAUUGGGACUGAGACACGGCCCAAACUCCUACGGGAGGCAGCAGUGGGGAAUAUUGCACAAUGGGGGAAACCCUGAUGCAGCGACGCCGCGUGAGCGAAGAAGUAUUUCGGUAUGUAAAGCUCUAUCAGCAGGGAAGAAGA